GAUGAAGAACGUAGCGAAAUGCGAUAAGGAAUGUGAAUUGCAGAAUUCAGUGAAUCAUCGAAUCUUUGAACGCACAUUGCGCCCGCCAGUAUUCUGGCGGGCAUGCCUGUCUGAGCGUCAUUUCAACCCUCAUGCCCCUAGGGCGUGGUGUUGGGGAUCGGCCAAAGCCCGCGAGGGACGGCCGGCCCCUAAAUCUAGUGGCGGACCCGUCGUGGCCUCCUCUGCGAAGUAGUGAUAUUCCGCAUCGGAGAGCGAUGAGCCCCUGCCGUUAAACCUCCAACUUUCCAAGGUUGACCUCAGAUCAGGUAGGAAUACCCGCUGAACUUAAGCAUAUCAAUAGGCGGAGGA
RNAcentral lists this unclassified non-coding RNA (348 nucleotides) under soil metagenome. RNAcentral's name for it is "partial contains 5.8S ribosomal RNA, internal transcribed spacer 2, and large subunit ribosomal RNA". The stretch from base 1 to 120 matches the Rfam family "5.8S ribosomal RNA", at positions 35 to 154 of the family's 154-position model. The record is from RNAcentral.